AUUGAACGCUGGCGGCAUGCCUUACACAUGCAAGUCGAACGGCAGCACGGGAGCAAUCCUGGUGGCGAGUGGCGAACGGGUGAGUAAUAUAUCGGAACGUGCCCAGUCGUGGGGAUAACGUAGCGAAAGCUACGCUAAUACCGCAUACGAUCUAUGGAUGAAAGCGGGGGAUCGCAAGACCUCGCGCGAUUGGAGCGGCCGAUAUCAGAUUAGGUAGUUGGUGGGGUAAAAGCCUACCAAGCCUUCGAUCUGUAGCUGGUCUGAGAGGACGACCAGCCACACUGGAACUGAGACACGGUCCAGACUCCUACGGGAGGCAGCAGUGGGGAAUUUUGGACAAUGGGCGCAAGCCUGAUCCAGCAAUGCCGCGUGCAGGAUGAAGGCCUUCGGGUUGUAAACUGCUUUUGUACGGAACGAAACGGUUCUCUCUAAUACAGGGGGCUAAUGACGGUACCGUAAGAAUAAGCACCGGCUAACUACGUG
Molecule: ribosomal RNA, 483 nt
Filed under: uncultured bacterium
Lineage: Bacteria
Description: bacterial SSU rRNA
Rfam family: Bacterial small subunit ribosomal RNA
Source: RNAcentral